Long non-coding RNA from Aquila chrysaetos chrysaetos, 641 nucleotides. RefSeq lists it as uncharacterized. The transcript has 3 exons. The record is from RefSeq and is a predicted model, not a curated record. NCBI's taxonomy places the organism in Eukaryota, Metazoa, Chordata, Aves, Accipitriformes, Accipitridae.
UGCAAAAUCCUCCCUGAUUUUUUCUUCAUUUUCCUGGGAGUGGGGAAAUGAGAGCAUAAGAUUAGCUUUUGCAGCUCCUGCAUAUUGGAACUCACCUGAGCUGUGGUGACUUAUGAAUUGUCUGGAGAGAGGACGAUGCUUGCCUGUGCACUUCCACCAGCUGCAAAGUACGGUGCUUGUCUUACAGAAUCAAUUGGAUUACCAAGAUGUGAGCUCACGGGAUCACUUUCUUAACGUGAAGGAAAGAAAACAGAAAUGUUGCUGGAAAUAAACAGUCCAAAAAAAUUCAGAAGAAACCAUGACCGCUUCAAUUCACUACUGAUAUGGCCAGAUCCAAGGUUAUAACACCCUUGGCCAGGCUGGGUGAAUAUGAUGGAAAAAUGUGAAUGUUCAACUACAGAGGCAAGGAAAAUUGGACGUGCUCCAGGGAGCUCAUGAUCCAUGCAUUUCAUGAGGUGAAACAGAUGGAUGAAGCAGACACAUGGAGUGGGUAGGAGGAGGUGGGAGGAUGUGUUAAAGGAAAUGGCUUUGUAGAAUUAGCAGCACUUCAUUUUCUAGCACAGAUCUCCCUAUGACAUCAAAGAAGUCACUUAAGACCAGGGUUGGGCUUUUUUAAAAAAAAUACUGUCUGAACAGGUGUU